Molecule: ribosomal RNA, 253 nt
Filed under: uncultured bacterium
Lineage: Bacteria
Description: partial 16S ribosomal RNA
Rfam family: Bacterial small subunit ribosomal RNA
Source: RNAcentral
UACGGAGGGUGCAAGCGUUAAUCGGAAUUACUGGGCGUAAAGCGCACGUAGGCGGUUCAUUAAGUCGGAUGUGAAAUCCCCGGGCUCAACCUGGGAACUGCACCCGAUACUGGUGGACUCGAAUCUGGGAGAGGGGAGUGGAAUUUCCGGUGUAGCGGUGAAAUGCAUAGAGAUCGGAAGGAACAUCAGUGGCGAAGGCGACUCCCUGGCCCAAGAUUGACGCUGAGGUGCGAAAGCGUGGGUAGCAAACAGG